GCGGUUCUCUGUUUAGUCACAGCAGGGAGUCUUGUGUUUAGCGGGUCAGCAGAUACAGGAAUAUGCGUGUGGAGAAGACUAGGAAGCGAUCAUAUAUGUUUGUCAUUGUUGAAUGGCCAUACUGGGCCUGUUAAGUGUUUGGCAGCCGAGAAAGAUAAGAAAUCCAUCUCCCACGAGACGCCAUGGAUUUUGUACAGUGCAAGUGUUGAUAAGUCUGUGAAGAUGUGGCGGGUGUCGGAGAACGCUCCACCAGUUGCCUGGAACGGGUGUGCUAGUGCCAUGCCAAUUUCGCUGCCUCCAGCUCGAAGCUCUGACCGUAGCAGAAUAAACCAUAGAAGGCAU
RNAcentral lists this unclassified non-coding RNA (342 nucleotides) under Hevea brasiliensis (rubber tree). The record is from RNAcentral. Lineage: Eukaryota; Viridiplantae; Streptophyta; Magnoliopsida; Malpighiales; Euphorbiaceae.